AUACGUAGGUGGCGAGCGUUGUCCGGAAUUACUGGGCGUAAAGGGCGCGUAGGCGGCCUGUCAAGUCAGAUGUGAAAUCCCCGGGCUUAACCCGGGAACUGCAUUUGAAACUGGCGGGCUUGAGGGCAGGAGAGGAAAGCGGAACUCCCAGUGUAGCGGUGAAAUGCGUAGAUAUUGGGAGGAACACCAGCGGCGAAGGCGGCUUUCUGGACUGUCACUGACGCUGAGGCGCGAAAGCCAGGGGAGCGAACGGGAUUAGAUACCCCGGUAGUCCUGGCUGUAAACGAUGGGUACUAGGUGUUGGGGGUAUCGACCCCUCCAGUGCCGCAGUUAACGCAUUAAGUGUUCCGCCUGGGGAGUACGGCCGCAAGGCUAAA
This 377-nucleotide ribosomal RNA is filed under the name uncultured bacterium. RNAcentral's name for it is "bacterial SSU rRNA". It matches the Rfam family "Bacterial small subunit ribosomal RNA", at positions 523 to 898 of the family's 1533-position model. The record is from RNAcentral.